This 766-nucleotide ribosomal RNA is filed under the name uncultured archaeon. RNAcentral describes it as "bacterial SSU rRNA". It matches the Rfam family "Archaeal small subunit ribosomal RNA", at positions 104 to 879 of the family's 1478-position model. The record is from RNAcentral.
UUAACAAAAUAGCGGGAUAUCUCGGGAACUGAGAAUAAUGCCCGAUAGAACAUUAUGCCUGGAAUGGUUUAUGUUUCAAAUGAUUUAUCGCCAUAGGAUGGGACUGCGGCCUAUCAGUUUGUUGGUGAGGUAAUGGCCCACCAAGACUAUUACAGGUACGGGCUCUGAGAGGAGUGGCCCGGAGAUGGGUACUGAGACACGGACCCAGGCCCUAUGGGGCGCAGCAGGCGAGAAAACUUUGCAAUGUGCGAAAGCACGACAAGGUUAAUCCGAGUGGUUUCUGCUAAAGAAACCUUUUGCCAGUCCUAGAAACACUGGUGAAUAAGGGGUGGGCAAGUUCUGGUGUCAGCCGCCGCGGUAAAACCAGCACCUCAAGUGGUCAGGAUGAUUAUUGGGCCUAAAGCAUCCGUAGCUCGUUUUGUAAGUUUUCGGUUAAAUCCAUGCGCUUAACGUAUGGGCUGCCGGGAAUACUGCAUAACUAGGAAGUGGGAGAGGUAGACGGUACUCGGUAGGAAGGGGUAAAAUCCUUUGAUCUAUUGAUGACCACCUGUGGCGAAGGCGGUCUACCAGAACACGUUCGACGGUGAGGGAUGAAAGCUGGGGGAGCAAACCGGAUUAGAUACCCGGGUAGUCCCAGCUGUAAACUAUGCAAACUCAGUGAUGCAUUGGCUUGUGGCCAAUGCAGUGCUGCAGGGAAGCCGUUAAGUUUGCCGCCUGGGAAGUACGUACGCAAGUAUGAAACUUAAAGGAAUUGGCGGGGGAGCAC